AUGCUGCGGUGGCUGGCGCGGCCGGCGGAGCGGUGCCUGGGGCGCGGUGGCUGCGGUAGCGGCAGCGGGGCCGGCGGGGGAGGGGACGGGUUGCUGUGGCACGCGGAGCUGAAGCCGCACGCGUCCGGGGAGUACUCCUUCGCCGUGGCGCAGGCCAACGAGAGGCUGGAAGACCAGGGCCAGGUGGCGACCUCGCCGGCGUCCACCUUCGUCGGGGUGUACGACGGCCACGGCGGGCCCGAGGCCUCGCGCUUCCUCGCCUCCCGCCUCUUCCCGAACCUCCACAAGUUUGCAUCAGAGCAAGGAGGCAUGUCGACAGACGCAAUCAAGAAGGCAUUCCAUGCUACAGAAGAGGAGUUCUUGCACCUAGUCAAGGGGACAUGGCUCAAACAGCCAAAGAUCGCCUCAGUCGGCUCAUGCUGCCUUGUUGGAGCAAUUGCCAAUAAUAAACUUUAUGUCGCCAAUUUAGGCGACUCCAGAGCUGUCCUUGGUCAUAGAGGACCAAAUGGCCGGGGAGUAGUGGCCGAGAGGCUGUCUAAUGAUCACAAUGUUGCUGACGAGGCGGUAAGAAAGGAGGUCAUUCAGCAGCAUCUUGAUGAUUCGCACAUAGUCGUCUACAGCAGGGGCGUUUGGCGGAUUAAGGGCAUCAUUCAGGUUUCCAGAUCAUUUGGGGAUGCCUACCUGAAGAAGCCUGAAUUUGCCAGAGACCCUAUAUUCCAGCAAUAUGUGUGUCCUGUACCGUUGAAGCGGGCCGUCAUAACAGCCGUGCCAUCGAUCAAAGUACACCAGAUAGGGCAGCAAGACCUCUUUGUAAUUUUUGCAUCGGACGGUCUGUGGGAGCAGUUGACCGACAGAGCGGCGGUCGAGAUCGUCUUUAAGAACCCGAGAGCGGGAAUAGCGAGGCGACUGGUGAGAGCGGCGAUCUCUGAAGCCGCGAGGAAAAAAGAGAUGAGGUACGUCGACAUGCAACACAUCGAAAGAGGGAUGAAGCGGCAUUUCCAUGACGAUAUCACAGUUGUGGUGCUCUACCUUGAUAGUCACAAACACGAUGCGCAAACGAAGUUCGGUAGCCUGGACGGUUUCAGGUUCACCAAUGCACCGGCGGACAUCUUCUCGCCAUCAGGCCAAACCGUGGAACCGACGGUGCUGUGA
This 1152-nucleotide ribosomal RNA is filed under the name Triticum aestivum (bread wheat). RNAcentral describes it as "partial small subunit ribosomal RNA". The record is from RNAcentral. Lineage: Eukaryota; Viridiplantae; Streptophyta; Magnoliopsida; Poales; Poaceae.